AUUGUUAUUAAAGUUAUGCAUGAUCCUACUGAAGUGUUUGGGGGAAUUCUGGUUGCCACCUGAUACCAUUUAGUAAGAGUGAGAUAGUGAGAAUGAGAUUUCAACUAUAAUAGAAGUGCCAUUUUUUAACUGAAGGUCGCAACAGAAGCCCUAGAGUGAAGCUUCAGCCAAUGAACAAAGUGAGAGAUCCAGAAUUGAAAGCCUUGAUCGCAUCAAGUGCAGUAUUGAACAAGCCAAGGAACUUGUAUUUAACCCGAGUCUAUAUCAAAUUGCAACCCCAUUUCUCUGUAUUUGUCCAUAGUUUGGGAAUUGUGUUUGUUUAAUCGAUGCUAGCGAGAAUGACAGUUAUAGUCUCUGAGCCCUUUUUACUCAUUCACAUAAUUCAAUUUAGUUGUAAUUUGCCAA
Non-coding RNA from Camellia sinensis, 405 nucleotides. The record is from RefSeq and is a predicted model, not a curated record. Lineage: Eukaryota; Viridiplantae; Streptophyta; Magnoliopsida; Ericales; Theaceae.